GGGCCUAACGUGCCUCCAAAACGCAUGCAUGUUCGGCGGCCGAACUUGACUUUCGGCGGCCGAACCUGGGUUUUCCUCCAAAGACUUUUCAUGCAAAAACUCAUUAAAUUUUCAUACUUAAAACCAUGAAAUACCUUAAAACAUUUUAUGAAAACAUGUUUCUACCCUACUAGAGGCUUCCGACAUCCGAGAUUCCACCGGACGGUAGGAAUUCCGAUACCGGAGUCUAGCCGGG
This 235-nucleotide long non-coding RNA is filed under the name Manihot esculenta (cassava). RNAcentral's name for it is "long non-coding RNA (MESC_LNC011278)". The record is from RNAcentral. Lineage: Eukaryota; Viridiplantae; Streptophyta; Magnoliopsida; Malpighiales; Euphorbiaceae.